RNAcentral lists this long non-coding RNA (1408 nucleotides) under Setaria viridis. RNAcentral describes it as "long non-coding RNA (SVIR_LNC003667)". The record is from RNAcentral. Lineage: Eukaryota; Viridiplantae; Streptophyta; Magnoliopsida; Poales; Poaceae.
UUUUUUUUUUUGUCUUGCAACCCUGGAAUCUUAUCUUCAUCCACAGAUCCCAUCAGUUCAGCUGAUGGCGCAAUAGAGCUGCCCAUGGAUGAUUCCAUGAGAGCAGUGAUUAUGUUAGCAAGAAUCAGAGAAAAAAAAAGCCUGCGAGAGAAGGAUACAGUACAGAUUGAAGUUAGUUUACAUUUGUCAAAGAUGCUCAUUAGGGGAGAAAAGAAAAGGGCUGCGGAGGCAGAGUACUCUAUGUAUGCUGCAUGAACCAUGGCAGCACAGUGUGAUAAUCCGCUUUCUUCCGUUUACACCUUGUACAAUGUAUUAUCAAACAGAAACAACUUGUUAAGGAGUCUGGCAUCUGGUAAGGAUUUAGGAACGAUUAGCAUGACUCCCAGGUCUCCAACGAGUAGGAAGGUACUGCAUAAACUCAACGAAUUCAACAUUGUGAGUCUACUACUGAUGUUUCUGCAUAUUUCAGACAAAUAUAGGCAACGCAGGUCUGCUUGCAAUACAUUUCUCCGAGGAUUUUUACGUGAGAUUCGCAACUGUGUGACCGAUGAAGAACAAAUGAGCUAGUAGGAUCGUAUGCAAAUAUUCGAGCUUCGUUAAUAUAACGCUACAUCUGCAAAACAUGUUCUAUAUCCCAGGAUUUAUCCAGAGGCACCAUAAACAGAUAUAUGGCACGCUAAAUAUCACUGGUUCGGCAAUAACCAUCCAAGUAGAUGCUCAACGAGACACAGAUAAGAUGUCUGUCAAUCAAGGUAGCUCAAAUUCUGCACAUAUGCAGGUAACUCAUGGUUCGAACAUGACGUACAUGGCUAAGUUCUCCAAAAAACGCAAGCCAGACUUAAUUUAGUUCUGAACAAAACAUCUGAAUUACUGGAAUUCAAAUUAUCGCCUCCACCUCGCCUCACAUGGUCCAUCUCACACCAGCAGAUGGAGUUCUCAUAGUACUUCAGCGGUACUGCAAAAUUAUUGACAGCAAUUCACAAGUUAAAAGAGCGAUAACAGAAAAUCAAAUUAUUGACAUGGCUAACAGAAUUUAUUAGUGGCAAUAAACAUGCUUUUCUACAAAAAUGAGACCAUAGCCACUAUGAUUGAGCAUCAUAAUUGUGGAUUCACAAUCAUUUGGAUCAAAAUGGAUAACUGCACAUGAGAACAGCUCAACAAACUAUCAUAGUUGGACUUGCAAGACAGAUAACAAGGCAUUAAAAGUAAACAGCUUAAAUCAAAAGAAAAGGUCACUGUGUAAAAAUGUGUUUAACAAGCUAGCAAUAACAUAAGACACACAGCAUCUAACUACAGCAAAACAUCAAUGUAACAUUCAAUUAUUAGAAUUAUAUGUCCUCAUACAGAAAUGUAUAAUGCAUACAGGCCAAUCUUUCUUAGUCUUGCAAUACUACAUUACUUGUGGGAG